RNAcentral lists this unclassified non-coding RNA (280 nucleotides) under Mus musculus (house mouse). Lineage: Eukaryota; Metazoa; Chordata; Mammalia; Rodentia; Muridae. The record is from RNAcentral.
UGAGCUGUUUGUCUCUUAGAUAUUGCACGUGCUCUGGGUUGCACAUCUGGUGGGUUGGUGUGAGAGCCUACAUCUAUCCAAGAACACUGCUCACACAAGAUGCCAAUUUGUAUAGUUGCAGUAGAGAAAACCUGUUACAACUCCAGAAAUAUCAAAUUCACCUGCUUCUUUCCUCUUGGUAAAAGGUUCUUGCGACAGGAGAGAGACCGUUGAGUAUAGAAAGGACAGUAGCAAAGGCCACCAGGAGCAGCCUCGCCUCCAUCAAUUAGGGGACACGGUG